UCAUUUUAUACAACAUUAACCAUAAACACAAUGGUGAAAGAACUUCCUGGUUAAACAGAAGAUUCACUUAUUCUUCAUACAAUGCUUUCAUUUGAAAACUACUCUUCAGUUCCAAACAAGUUGGGGUUGGCUAUAUGAAUCCUCGUUGCUUCGUUUAAGCUCAACUCGUGUCAUCAUCGUACAAUAACAUGAAUAACAAAUAAAGAAAGAAAAAUAAGAUAAUUUAGACGAUUGUGGUGUGCAGUGGUUCUACUUUUCAACAAGUGGACAGUCAACAUCGAGAUAAUGCUCAACUUUACUCAAAACAAAGGGAAAAAAGGCAGCACACCUGCAACCUCCAUUUGGAUAGUGAAGCUUUAAGCAUGUUUUGGAAGACAAUC
This 380-nucleotide long non-coding RNA is filed under the name Capsicum annuum. RNAcentral describes it as "long non-coding RNA (CANN_LNC015086)". The record is from RNAcentral. Lineage: Eukaryota; Viridiplantae; Streptophyta; Magnoliopsida; Solanales; Solanaceae.